Molecule: ribosomal RNA, 253 nt
Filed under: uncultured bacterium
Lineage: Bacteria
Description: partial 16S ribosomal RNA
Rfam family: Bacterial small subunit ribosomal RNA
Source: RNAcentral
UACAGAGGGUGCGAGCGUUAAUCGGAUUUACUGGGCGUAAAGCGUGCGUAGGCGGUCCUCCAAGUCCGCUGUGAAAGCCCCGGGCUCAACCUGGGAAUGGCAGUGGAAACUAUGGGACUUGAAUCUGGCAGAGGGGGGUGGAAUGCCACGUGUAGCAGUGAAAUGCGUAGAGAUGUGGCGGAACACCGAUGGCGAAGGCAGCCCCCUGGGCUGAGAUUGACGCUCAGGCACGAAAGCGUGGGGAGCAAACAGG